Non-coding RNA from Heterocephalus glaber (naked mole-rat), 804 nucleotides. The record is from RefSeq and is a predicted model, not a curated record. NCBI's taxonomy places the organism in Eukaryota, Metazoa, Chordata, Mammalia, Rodentia, Bathyergidae.
GUGCGUAGCAGGGACCUCCACAGAGGAGACCAACCCUCUAGAGGAAAGGUGAAUGAAACUCUAAAUUGUCUGCUCAGGACAUCCAGCCACAAGAGGAGCCUACAACCACAGCAUCUGACUCAGUUUUAGAAAUGAGGUCAACCACAUAAACUCAUUCAAUCCAGAGGGUAUACGUGGAAAUGGAUCACAUAUAACUUUAAAUCCGGAAAUUGGUGGCUCAAAGAGAUUGACACAAGCCAACACCACUGAAGAGCAGUGUGCUAUGUGCUGAGAGAAAACAGGUGUGCAGAGAGGAGACUGGAUCAUACCACUGCUGCAGAGCUCCUCGGUACCCUUUACUCCUAGAGAUGGCCAUUCCCUGGGGUCCUCUACUGGCCCUUCUUCUCCUUCUAGGAGUUGUCACCUGUAAAGAAGGCUUUGGGCCAAACAAGGCAACAACAUUACAGUCCUCUUUUGCUACUGUGGCAGACAGCAAGAGGUACCACUGGGAUUACACUUCAAGAAGACUUGUGUCCAGACGCUGGGAGGAACAUCAGCCCCUUCAUCACUGUCUUACCAGCAAAGAACCACCUUGCCCAGGUCCAUUCCACCCCAGGGAGGCCCACAUGGAAUGACUGUUCAAUGUGUAGGUGAGAGGCUUAUCUCAGCCCUCCUAGGAACAACUAUGAAGAGCCAUGCUGGUUCUCCUGGUCCCUGUGUGUCACCCAAGGCUGUCGCUGGGCUUCCACCCCAGAUCACCUUCUCCCUCGGCCCAGCCCAUUUUCCUUCUCUGCUUUCCACCAGUGUCAAUCCAAGGGGACUGGU